UACGUGGGUGGCAAGCGUUGUCCGGAUUUACUGGGCGUAAAGAGCGCGCAGGCGGUCGUAUAAGUCGAAUGUGAAAGCCCCCGGCUCAACUGGGGAGGGUCAUUCGAUACUGUUCGACUCGAAGGCAGGAGAGGGAAGUGGAAUUCCGGGUGUAGUGGUGAAAUGCGUAGAUAUCCGGAGGAACACCAGUGGCGAAGGCGACGCUCUGGGCCGGUACUGACACUGAGGAGCGAAAGCGUGGGUAGCAAACAGG
RNAcentral lists this ribosomal RNA (253 nucleotides) under uncultured bacterium. Its description in RNAcentral is "partial 16S ribosomal RNA". It matches the Rfam family "Bacterial small subunit ribosomal RNA", at positions 524 to 776 of the family's 1533-position model. The record is from RNAcentral.